UGUACACAUGACUGUAAGUCACUUUCGAUAAAAGCAUCUGCUACAUGGCAUAUU
Molecule: non-coding RNA, 54 nt
Organism: Salmo salar (Atlantic salmon)
Lineage: Eukaryota; Metazoa; Chordata; Actinopteri; Salmoniformes; Salmonidae
Source: Rfam